AGAGUUUGAUCAUGGCUCAGGAUGAACGCUAGCGGCAGGCUUAAUACAUGCAAGUCGAGGGGCAGCAUGGUGUAGCAAUACACUGAUGGCGACCGGCAAACGGGUGCGGAACACGUACGCAACCUUCCUUUAAGUGUGGGAUAGCCCAGGGAAACUUGGAGUAAUACCACGUAAGAUGGUGGUCUGGCAUCAGACAGCCAUAAAAGCUCCGGCGCUUAAAGAUGGGCGUGCGUCUGAUUAGGUAGUUGGCGGGGUAACGGCCCACCAAGCCUUCGAUCAGUAACUGGUGUGAGAGCACGACCAGUCACACGGGCACUGAGACACGGGCCCGACUCCUACGGGAGGCAGCAGUAAGGAAUAUUGGUCAAUGGACGCAAGUCUGAACCAGCCAUGCCGCGUGAAGGAUGAAGGUCCUCUGGAUUGUAAACUUCUUUUAUAUGGGACGAAACCUCCGGAUUCUUCUGGAAUUGACGGUACCAUAGGAAUAAGCACCGGCUAACUCCGUGCCAGCCGCCGCGGUAAUAC
Molecule: ribosomal RNA, 525 nt
Filed under: uncultured bacterium
Lineage: Bacteria
Description: bacterial SSU rRNA
Rfam family: Bacterial small subunit ribosomal RNA
Source: RNAcentral